Long non-coding RNA from Xiphophorus hellerii (green swordtail), 6227 nucleotides. RefSeq lists it as uncharacterized. The transcript has 2 exons. NCBI's taxonomy places the organism in Eukaryota, Metazoa, Chordata, Actinopteri, Cyprinodontiformes, Poeciliidae. The record is from RefSeq and is a predicted model, not a curated record.
CUGGCUGCGUGAUAAAUGCGGGAGUGCGGCCACCUAGCUCACAGCUGCUGCGGCUGCAGGAGCGAGCAGAAACUCUGAGCGCACAACUAAAGCUGGAAGAAGCAGAAAACAGACGAGACGCUUUGAUUGACUGGCGGUUUGAUGCGGUGAUUGGCUGCUUUCAUCCGCGAUAAUUAGGAAACAAACACAGAAUAAACCGGUUUUAUCAGCGUGUGAAAGGAGGGAAGAAGAUUUAGAGCAACAGUUUAGUCUGAGUUUCAUCCUUGAGUCGCAGCAGAACGAACAGUUACAGCCUGACGCCGUAUCUCCGUCUGAGCGGGUCAAACAACAACCAGCUUCACCUGGCGUGACGUCCAGAACCGGACCGGUUCCACUCAGACGCUCCAAACUUCAACUCUGAGAAAAUAUCCUGAAAUUAAGACCAUUUGUUUCCAGCCUUAUGAUAUUAUAAAAUCAGAUAAAUUUUAACAGAAGUGUAGAAAAGUAUUUCUCUUGUCUUUAUGUUUCCACGUUUCUCUUCAUGUUGUUCAGAAAGAAUAAAUACAAUUCCUCGUUUGUUGGUUUUAAAAACUUUUUAAGCCUUAAUUACAUUUUUGUUUUGAUUGUUUUUGUUGUCUAAAUGCAGAAAGGUUGAAUUUAGCCUCUCCUGUUGCUCCUGUUUAUCUCAUUUUUUCAAUUUGUUUUAUUUCUUUGCUUCUAUUAUGUUUAUCAACUUCCAGGUGCGUCUCUAGGCUUUAAGGACCAGGGGGCCUUAGCCCACAGGAUGUUAGCAAAUGUAGCAAGAAACCACAAAAUCUUUCAAACAUCAACAAAACAAACAAAUUCCACCUUUAAAAUAGAAAUAACUUCCACCGCAGAAACAGUUAAUGAACAACGUCACCUUCCUAAAAUAAUAAUCUGUUUUGCUAAAAUACGAUUUAGGUAAAAAAAUAAAAAAUAAAAUCAUGAUAAGACAAACAAUGACCAGCUGAGCUAAAAUAUGGUUAAUUUAAUUAAUUUCAAUAAAAUUAAUUAAAUAAACCUGCUAAACUAAACUUAGGCUAAGAUAGUUAAUAUAAUCUAUGAUUAGAGAAGCUAAGGUAUAUUAAAACUACUGAAGCUAACUAUAAGACAAAUUAUAGCUAAGCUAAGGUAUGCACAACUAAAGCAGAAUGAGCUAUUUAUGAUUUGCUAAACUAAAAUACAUUUAGAUAAGUUGAGGCAAACUGUGAUUAGCUAAGCUAGUUUAGGUUCAUGCAAAAUCUAGAAAAGCUGCAUAUGAUAAAACAAACUAUGACUAUAGGCUAAGUACAAUAAUGCAAACUAUAACUAACUAAGCUAAUUUAUGCUUCACUUUAAUAAAAUGAGAAAAUCACGAUUAGCUAAAUUAUUUUAUGAAAAUGAUGAUAUAAUGAAAAGAUUUCCCAGCAAACAUGAUUAUAAUUUUCUUUGACUUCCCACUUUGUGUAAAGUUUCAUGUUUGUAUCAUUUUCUGAGUAAUUCCAGUCAUAUUUCACAAAAUCACAGAAUAUUAUAUAAAAUAAAGAUAAACUGACAGAUUUAUAAUAUUUUAAUUAAAAAUAAUAGUUUAUAUGAUUUAAAAAAAAAGAACUUGAGUGUUGAUGUGACAUCCUAGCUGUUGUUUUUCUAGCAGUAGCAUCGUGCUUUCUGCUAAUAUUAGCGCUGUGUGCUAACUGUUAGCUCCUUCAAUAUAUAAUCAUUCUGCGUAUUUUCAAUACUAUUGAUACAUAAACAGCUUGGUAUUGUUUAAUAAUUUUUAUCUUUGGGAACAAAUUAACCAAAUACAUUCAGAGACGUUCUUGGUGCUAGCAUUAGCUAACUUGCUAACAGAGUUGAGGCUUUUUUUUACAAGACAUGUUUGUUUGUGUUUUGGUAGCAUUUUCUGCCUCCAACAUGAAAAAAACAUUUUUAAUCAAUUUGGGAAUAAAAAGUUUAGAUGAUUGAAAUGUGAAAAGAAAAAAUGUAAAAGCAAGACAAGUCAACUUUAAGCGAAGCUAACGAGCUAAUUUUAAAGAUGAUGAGAAGCUAGGAAAGCUAAAUAACAAGACAGGCUAGUAUAAGACAGUCCAGGUUAGGACAAAGCUUAGACAUUUCUAAAGUCUCAUUUUGUUUUGCUAGACGGCGCAGGAACCCGAACCACGCUGGUUUGUUUUGAAGCGUUACAAGCUUGACCGCAACUGAGACGUAGCUGGAAACUCAGAACGUGUGGUGAAAGUUUUUAGCACCGAUUCAGACCAGCUUUCUUCCUGCUCUGAAUCAGUGCUAAUAAAAACACACACAUUUAAACACAAAAGCCCUGCAGGAAAGCUGUGCAAGCAAACACACACACACACACACACAAACACACAUCCCCUCUGUGCUCCAAACAGCGUGUUUUUGCCAAACACCUGUGUAAUCGUCCAGCUGUGGGGAAUGGUGGGAAGUGAGGAGGGAGAACUGGAUACCACACAGCUAAUAGCUAACAGCUAACAGCUAAUGCUAUUAGUUGCAUGUACACAGCAAAGCUUUUGUUGUCAAUGUUUGGUUCUCAAAUGUGACUUUAAUGGAUUAAACUGUUCAUUUAUUCUGCUGUUAUAUCAACCAACAGCAGAACGUCUUAGUGGGUUUUUAUUAGCAGAAACUUGAAACAAACCAACAAAACAUCAAUAAAACGGUGAAGGUGCCAUUUUAAGACUUCACUGUUAGUUCCAGAUUUAAUUUUAAAAUAAUAAAAACAUUUAAAGCUUUAGACAAACCACAGCUAGCUAAGCUAAAAUAUGCUUAAUUUAAAUAAAAUACAUAAUAAACUAAACUUAGAUAGGCUAAGAUAUAUGAUAUAAACUAUGAUUAGCUAAAUUAAGGUAUGCUAAACCUACAGAAGAUAUUUAUGAUAAGACAAACUAUAACUAAAGUAAUGUAUGCUUCAUGUGAAGAGAAUGAGCUAACUAUGAUUAGCUAACUAAGCCAGCUAAGAUAGCUAAGGGAAGCUAAGCUAAGAUUAUCUAAAGAAAUGAUUAGCUAGGGUAAGCUAAGCUAAUACAUGACUAUAAACUGAUGUUUACCUGAAAAUGUAAAGGUGUGUUUAUGUUUUCUCACUUUUAGACCAAAUUUCUAUUAUAUUAAAAGUUUUAAAUAAACUGAAAUUGUCAGUUUAAACGUUUUCUGUGGAAAAUAUUCUGUUUUAUUGGUGUAAAAUUUGAAAAUGAUUAUUUCUAAUUUCUCACUUCACAUUAUUUAGGCUAAUUGUGAGGUACAUAUUAGAUUUUUUUUCCAUGAUUUUGUCCUCUUUGAGGCUGAUGUGUUAGCAUGCAGCUAGCUGAACCUCCACCUGAUGGCUCAGGUGGACGUGACGAUAACUAGCAGCUAAAAACACAGAGCUUCUCUCCAUGAGGUGCUUUAACUCGUCCUCUCUGGGAGUUUUUUGGUUUUUCCUGACAGCAGAAGCAGGCAGAUGGAGGGCGGCAGCAGUUUACACAGGUGUCUCCAGUUUGUAUUUACUGUAAAUGUGUUCGCCAGAAGGUGACGAGUUUGAAGGAGGGAGCUGAGGUUAAGUUCAGGUCAGUUUCUGUAAAACUCUCCAAACAUCUCACAUUUAUACAGAAACAGAAAACAUUAAAGAGAAAAACAUUUUUCUGACUACAUUUUAUACAUUUCUACAGUAAAUUCAUGAUUUACGUUAUUAAACUAUGUCGUUCUUUCUUCAUAAAUAUUUAAUUAGGUGUCUGGCAGAACUUGGAAAUAGAUUCAAGAGCGAAAUCGUUUUAUAACGAGAUGCAAAUCGUGUGAAAAUGAGAAAUUUAUUAAAAUGAGAAACCUCAGUUAGUGAGACUAGUUUUUAUCUUGUAAUAAAAUUUCUCAUUAAGACGAGAAAACUUUCAUUUAAUGUGAAACACAAAAUAAGCUACAAUGAGAACUUUCUCAUUAAAAUGUCUCAUUAUAAUGAGAAACUAUAAAAAACUCAUAAAAUAAAAGGUUCCUCAUUAAAACAAGAACAUUUCAUGAAACUUUCUCGUUUUGUGACAAGAAAGUUUCUCAUUAACACGAGAAAAUAACAAGAAUUUUCUCUUUUUAAUGAGAAACCAAUUUAACUAGAUGAGUUUAAUAUCCUGCAGAUGUAAAAGUUAUUAAAAAAUGUAAAAUUACGAUUCAUUAAAGACGCAUAAAGCAGAUCAAAAUGAAGCAAAUUUUCUCUCCAUUUCUUCCAGACGACGUCUAAAAAGCUGUUUUACAAUUUUUCUUAUUCAUUUGGUUCAAAUUAAAACAAUUUCAUUUUAACCUUUAAUCUGGCACUGAAAGACUUCCGUACACCAGAAACAGUCCAGAGCCCCAAAAACUUCCUAAAAAUACAAACAACAAAACAAAACAUGUUUAUUUUCACCAGCAGCUGAUUUAUGGAUUCAGACGCAGAUUCUGCUGACGGAGGAGCGACUGAGCGCCGCCGAGCUAACGCAACGCCGCCAAGCUAACUCAAUGCUGCCGAGCUAACGCAACGCGGCAAGCUAAUGCAACGCCGCCGAGCUAACGCAACGCCGCCGAGCUAACGCAACGCGGCAAGCUAAUGCAACGCCGCCGAGCUAAUGCAACGCCGCCGAGCUAACGCAACGCGCCGAGCUAACGCAACGCCGCCGAGCUAACGCAACGCGCCGAGCUAACGCAACGCCGCCGAGCUAACGCAACGCCGCCGAGCUAACGCAACGCCGCCGAGCUAACGCAACGCGCCGAGCUAACGCAACGCCGCCGAGCUAACGCAACGCUGCCGAGCUAACGCAACGCGCCGAGCUAACGCAACGCCGCCGAGCUAACUCAACGCCGCCGAGCUAACACAACGCCGUGUGUCGAAGUGUGUGUCAUCGUGUGUGUCGUUGUGUGUGUCGUUGUGUGUGUCGCCAUGUGUGUUUGGAGGCUGAAAGCAACGCUGCUCAGUCAGCAAACAGAAAGCAGGAAGAGAGGCAAACGCCGCUGCAAGGCAUUCUGGGAGGAUAAGAAGCGGUCGAUGCUGAAUCCUCCUGAAAUGGAGGCGGCAGUGUUUGGUUUAGUUUGGUUUCGCCGGCCUUCGUGGUUCCUGAGUGUUUAUUUGGAGCUGCGGCGGCUCAGAUGCCACUUAAAACGAUCAGAACCACUUCAGAGGAAACGCUGAGCUGCAGCCGGGACAAAACGUCAUGGCAACGCAGGUCAAAACCAAAACCUGGAACAGACUCAGGAGCCGAUUUACUGAGAAUCACCAGAGAUUUACAAACAUGAAGUUUUCAUGAUUUACUAGUUAUGAUGCUUGUUUGGUAUAAUUCACUGCUUCAGAUCAUCAAACUGAUUUAAACAUUAACUAGUAAAAAUAGAUUUACUUACUAAAAGCAUCGACUGAUGGACUAAAAUAAAACGUUAUGUGGGAAUUUUGGUAUUUUAAGGAUCAAAAUGAAAAUAAUUUAUAUAAAAGAUAAUUCCAGAUCAGUUUCUUUCAGUAUAAACUAACAAAAACUACAAGUGUGUCUAAAUUUGGUGAAUAUUUGGUUAAAAUAAGUUUUUAUUCAUCUAAGUUACUAAGAAAAUAUGGAAACUUUACUCAGGAGUAAAAUAGUAUUUGGUAAAAAGAAAUACUAAAGCUCUGAUGACAACAUGAAUUAUUAAGGUAAAAAUGACAUCAUGUAAAAUGUCUGACUGUAGAAAACAUUUAGAAAAAGUUAUUUUAGGUCAGUUCUUAUUUUCUGUAAAUAUAAACGCGGUUUUGAACAGUUUUAUUAAAUUGUGGUUAAAUAUAUUCCAGUUUUGUUUUUAGGUUUAUUGUUUUCAUUUUUUCCUUUUUUCUUACAUUUUUUGCAUCAGAGGUUUUGCAGGGUUUGUUUGUUGCUCCAGUUUAAUCAAUGAAAACAGAAACAUUGUUAAUACAAUAAAAUACUUUGUCUUGUAUCUAAAUAAAUAAAUGUCUAUUUUGUUUGUGAAAAUUUCCAUUCUUGAACUAUGGACAAAGGGGCCAAACAAAAUGGUCCAGAGGGCCACACAUGGCCCCCGGGCCACACAUUGGGCAUCCCUGCCUUACUACAUAAUCAAAAUAUUUAGAAUAAUAUUUAAAUUGACUGUUUUCACUUUCCUUAUGAUUUAAAUAAAUCUUGUUCUGCAUAUUAAUUGUAAUAUUUUUACUGUUUUCUAUCAACCUGCUAGAAAAUUAGCUGCUAAAUCUGCAUAUUUACCUGGUACAUUCAUGCUGAUUAAUAAGCAUUUUCCUCUUUAUGAAAAAUAAAAUCUUUAAAUCUGAA